RNAcentral lists this ribosomal RNA (502 nucleotides) under Veillonella parvula. RNAcentral's name for it is "bacterial SSU rRNA". It matches the Rfam family "Bacterial small subunit ribosomal RNA", at positions 28 to 500 of the family's 1533-position model. Lineage: Bacteria; Bacillati; Bacillota; Negativicutes; Veillonellales; Veillonellaceae. The record is from RNAcentral.
GACGAACGCUGCGGCGUGCUUAACACAUGCAAGUCGAACGAAGAGCGACGGAAGCUUGCUUCUAUCAAUCUUAGUGGCGAACGGGUGAGUAACGCGUAAUCAACCUGCCCUUCAGAGGGGGACAACAGUUGGAAACGACUGCUAAUACCGCAUACGAUCUAAUCUCGGCAUCGAGGAUAGAUGAAAGGUGGCCUCUACAUGUAAGCUAUCACUGAAGGAGGGGAUUGCGUCUGAUUAGCUAGUUGGAGGGGUAACGGCCCACCAAGGCGAUGAUCAGUAGCCGGUCUGAGAGGAUGAACGGCCACAUUGGGACUGAGACACGGCCCAGACUCCUACGGGAGGCAGCAGUGGGGAAUCUUCCGCAAUGGACGAAAGUCUGACGGAGCAACGCCGCGUGAGUGAUGACGGCCUUCGGGUUGUAAAGCUCUGUUAAUCGGGACGAAAGGCCUUCUUGCAAAUAGUGAGAAGGAUUGACGGUACCGGAAUAGAAAGCCACGGCUAA